This 363-nucleotide unclassified non-coding RNA is filed under the name Hevea brasiliensis (rubber tree). Lineage: Eukaryota; Viridiplantae; Streptophyta; Magnoliopsida; Malpighiales; Euphorbiaceae. The record is from RNAcentral.
GAAUUUUUCUCACAAGGUGGAGGGAACCACUGCCAAGGAGGUGAUGGAUCUCAUCAUGAUCACCCAAUACUUUGACACAAUCAAAGACCUCGGAUCCUCAUCUAAGAACACUACUGUCUUUAUUCCUCACGGUCCUGGUCAUAUUAGGGAUGUUGGUGAGCAAAUACGCAAUGGGUUGAUGGAGGCAGCCAGUGCUCAAGUGAAUGUGGAAUAGCUUUGCCAUUUAGUAUAUAGAGAAUUUAAUACAUUUUUGUGGAACUUGUUUACAUAUGGCUUGAAUAGGAAUAUAUUAAAUGGUAAAUGGUUAUGCAUCGCCAGCGCACAUAACAAUCAGGCUCACAAGAAUUACCAGCUGUGUAAAUA